GGGGCCGAUCAGGAUUCGACGACGGUUACAAAGCUUGAGGGGCAUGCCGAGUUGGUAACAGAACUCGUAAAUCCACUGUUGCAAACUAAUAGUUGCCAACGACGACAACUACGCCCUAGCCGCUUAAGUCGGCUAGCAGCCUCUAGGGGAUGCCUGUAAACCCGAAGAUCUGGCUGUCAUAUAGAACAGGAUCGCCGCCAAGUUCGCUGUAGACGUAACGGCUAAAACUCAUACAGCUCGCUCCUAGCGCCCUGCCACUCGGGCCGCGACGAGUUAACUAAAUAGAGAUGGCUAAGCAUGUAGAACCGAUAGUGGCGGACUGGCGGACGGGGGUUCAAAUCCCCCCGGCUCCACCA
RNAcentral lists this transfer-messenger RNA (356 nucleotides) under Halopseudomonas formosensis. RNAcentral's name for it is "Standard tmRNA". It matches the Rfam family "transfer-messenger RNA". From Rfam's summary of the family: Bacterial tmRNA, also known as 10Sa RNA or SsrA, is named for its dual tRNA and mRNA-like properties. Its role is to liberate the mRNA from a stalled ribosome. To accomplish this part of the tmRNA is used as a reading frame that ends in a translation stop signal. The record is from RNAcentral. Lineage: Bacteria; Pseudomonadati; Pseudomonadota; Gammaproteobacteria; Pseudomonadales; Pseudomonadaceae.